UACGUAGGGUGCGAGCGUUGUCCGGAAUUAUUGGGCGUAAAGAGCUCGUAGGCGGUUUGUUGCGUCGGCUGUGAAAUCCCGAGGCUCAACCUCGGGUCUGCAGUCGAUACGAGCAAACUAGAGUGUUGCAGGGGAGACUGGAAUUCCUGGUGUAGCGGUGAAAUGCGCAGAUAUCAGGAGGAACACCGGUGGCGAAGGCGGGUCUCUGGGCAACAACUGACGCUGAGGCGCGAAAGCAUGGGGAGCGAACGGG
RNAcentral lists this ribosomal RNA (253 nucleotides) under uncultured bacterium. RNAcentral's name for it is "partial 16S ribosomal RNA". It matches the Rfam family "Bacterial small subunit ribosomal RNA", at positions 524 to 776 of the family's 1533-position model. The record is from RNAcentral.